RNAcentral lists this ribosomal RNA (253 nucleotides) under uncultured bacterium. Its description in RNAcentral is "partial 16S ribosomal RNA". It matches the Rfam family "Bacterial small subunit ribosomal RNA", at positions 524 to 776 of the family's 1533-position model. The record is from RNAcentral.
UACGGGGGGGGCUAGCGUUGUUCGGAAUUACUGGGCGUAAAGGGCGCGUAGGCGGCCUACUAAGUCGGACGUGAAAUCCCUCGGCUCAACCGGGGAACUGCGUCCGAUACGGGUGGGCUCGAAUCCGGGAGAGGGAUGUGGAAUUCCAGGUGUAGCGGUGAAAUGCGUAGAUAUCUGGAGGAACACCGGUGGCGAAGGCGGCAUCCUGGACCGGUAUUGACGCUGAUGCGCGAAAGCCAGGGGAGCAAACGGG